CUCCCCACCCCGCGUCUUGCUGAUCUCCGUGCGCUCUGUGCGGGUGUACGUGUGGCUGCUACGCGUGAAGGUGCGCGUCAGGCGCUCCUGGGCAGACACCAUCUGGAACCAGUUCCCUAGGAGACACAGCAGCAGAGGCUCUGUCUGGAACAGGUGGCCGACGCGUAUAACAACGAGUAAUGAAAGCUGGCUCUGCAGGAGGAGGAGUGGGCCAGGUGCUGAACCAGAGGACCAGGGAUGGGGCAGUGUAGAAAAUUCACUGGAGCCUAGGAGGCCUCCUCCCCCAGAGAGGGAAGGCACCAGGAGACAGCCCGGAGCGGCAAGAUGAAGCCUGCACUGGGAUGUAGGAGCCUCGAGUCUGAGUUCCAGCCCUGUCCAGCUUGGCUAUGUGACCCUGGGUAACUCCCUUCCCCUCUGGGCCUGGAAGGUGACCCCUUCCCAGGCAGCGCAGGACAGUACCCGUGAGUUCCCCUUUCUGCACAGUGAAGGGGAUGACCAGGUUGAAGGGCCUCAGCAUGGAUUCCAUUGGCUCUGCAGGCACCACUGGCUCCUCUGUGGCCUGUGUAGGGGAAAGGAACGGUUGGCCAGGGAAGGUGUGGGGAGCCUAGCCUGAGUCACAACUGAAGUCGGAGAAAGUGAGGAAAGAACAAGAUGGUUAAUGGUGAAGCCAGAGUGGCAGGAGAAGUGUGUCAACCGCAAGAGAAGAGGUGCUCAGCUUGGAGGCCCAUCUGCCCAGAUUGACACCCGCUUGCUCCCCAAGAUGGCCCCCCCAAACCAUGCCCCAGCCCUGGCCACAGAGAACUAGAAGGAAGAAGUGAAGGAGCAGGGGGAGGGCGAGGCGUGGCCCAGGUGGGAGGCAGCAGUACCCAGUGUGUGGGGUAGGUGCUGGGCCGGGGCAGCUGCAGCACGUCAGCAGGCUCCUCCACGUGGGGCAUGGGGUCACACGCCUGGGAGGCAAGGCACGGAAAGCAUGGGUUGUGGCAGGCCAGUCCACACCCGCCAAGAGACCAGGAGCUAACUCUGAGAAUGGCCCAGGGACCUGCAAUUGGGCUACCCCUGGGGCGGGAUGGCUAUUUCAUGAGCUUUAUCCUCUGGAGGGCUUCAUCGUCCUGCGGGGCCACCCUGAGGGGAUGUAUAGGGACUGUGGGCCUGAGGGUCAGUGAGGUGAGUUCUGACCGACCACUGGAGGGACCAGAGACAGGGGCUGUGCUCAACUCCCAAGUUGGAGGGCCAUGGGGAACCAAAGGCUUGACUCCAGAACACUCGGCCCACAAUUCAUCAGACAUGGGGAUGGGUUCUGGGAUUUCUUGCUGCUGCUAACCAAAGGCCCGUCUCCUCAGCCACUGCCCCAGGCCUUGGAACUUACCAGUACAUGGAAGGGGCUGUUGGGGAUGUGCUCGCCUCCAAAGCGGAUGGUGAUGACGUACUUGCCGGGCUCAGGUGCUGUGUAGUAGAUGUCAAAGGUACCAUCGUGGUUCUCAACCACGUCCACGUCGAGCUCCGCCCCAUCCGGCGUGGAUACCGUGCAUGUCACCUUCCCCUUGCCUGCUGCCUUGGCAUCUACUGUGAUCACGGUCUCCUCCCCGAUCUGGAUGCGGGGUCCCAGGCAGGCACCUGCCACCCAGAAGAGCCAGGUUGAGGGUCUAUGAGGGCUGUGCCCAGUCCCUCUCCAUUCCCAGCUGCCCCUACCACCUCAGCCCAUGGCAAGAAGAGAAAGGGCACUCACCCAGGCCAUGGCCUCCAAUGGACACUGGAAACAGAGAAGAGUGUGAGGCCACACAGCCAUGGGGAGGAAGAGGGGGUGGGGGAUGGGGGCAGAUGAGGUGGGCUCUCUGACCAGCAGUCCCCUAAGGACUGGGCCAGGGACCUGGAAGAGCUAGGAGGGGGCUAGGAGGGGUGCUCCAUGGUGAGCAGGAGCAGAGUACAAGGCGGGGGGUGGGCACCCACCUGUGACAAGACACUUGCUGGCAUCCCCAGUGGGCAGGGCAUGGAUGCGGAAGGGUGAGUAGGGGAUCUCGUCGCCACCAUACUUGAUGGUGAUGGUGUACCGGCCACUCAUGUCUGGCAGGUAGGACACGGUGUACGUGCCAUCCCCGUUGUCUCGUAUGUUGGCCUUCUUGGGCUUUCCCUCCGGAUCCUAGGAGGGAAGCAGAGGUCAGGGCCUGCCUGUGCCCAAACCCUGACCAGGGAGGUGAGCUACACACAGACUCACCAGGAUCUGGACGGUGAGCAAACCCUCGCCAGCAUCCCGGGCAUCAAUGGUGAACUCCACAGGCAGGCUGGCAGGGAUGCCAGAGGCAUUGAGGCCAGGGCCACUGGCCCGCACCUUGCUGGCAUCGUGGGCAGGAAGCACCUUGAUCUUGAAGGGGCUUGAGGGGCAGAAAGGGUGGACAGUUGGCUGCAGGUCCGGGGGGAGUGCUCCCCACAGACAGAAGCAGGAGGGAGGAUUCUGCAGGGCAGAAAGGAGGGAAGAGCCCACAUCCCGAGUUCUGUGGGAGGAUAACCUGCGGGGUUACCCGCUCAUGAUGGACCCAGAGCAUUUCUGCGUUCCCCGGAAGAUGCUGUGGUCAGUUUAAAGAGGAGGGUGUGGAAAGCUUCCUUCUCCCACCACCUGCUUUUUCCCAAGGCACUAAUUUUGUGGCUAUGUGGCAGGAAAGCCUGACCCAAGGAGAGCCCCUGCGGCUGAGCGCCUCUCUGGGGUUACAGGCAGGGAGCCCCAAGGAAGAGUGGACUGGGGGGCUGAGAUUGAGACAGGUGAGGCCAAGGCAGAUGGGAGGGGCACCCCCAGGACCCUGGCAAUGGCCUGCAGGUACAGCCCCCAUAGCAGGGCCCCAGAACUCAGGCUCAGUGUGUGAGAGCCCAAAAGUAGUUCUCACCUGCGUGGCACCUCCUGGUCAGCAUACUUGACAGCUACCGUGUAGGGCCCAUCCGUGGCUGGGGUGUAGUGGACGGUGUGGGUGCCACCUCCAUUGUCAAGCACCUCCACGGGCUCGGCCACACCUGGACAAGGUAGGCAAGGUCAGCAGAGAGCCUCCUGAUGCUCCAUCCUACCGGCUCUCCUCCCCCCACCCCCACCUGGACAUUCUGUACCUGUGGGGCCCAGCACGGCCACUUGCAGUGGGGCCCGGCCAGCUUGGCUGCAGUCCACUGUGAAGGUCUGGGGUACCCGGGCCCGGACACCGGCCCCCAGACCUGGCCCUGAGCACUUCACCUUCCCAGGGUCCACCACGUCCUUCACCGGCACCCGGAAAGGGCUCCCUGCAAGGAGGAGGACGUCAGCCCCAGCCCACCUGCCUGGGAAUAUCUUGGACACUGAGGAGGCAGCUAGAAGGAGGUCUCUGAAAUGCCUCAGGGAGGCCAGACCAACAUGUGCAAAUGCUUAAGACCUUGCUAAGAAAAUGUAAACAGGAAUAAACAAACUUGGCUGCAGACAGCGACGGGGCAAACCUCAUGCGUAGGGCCACAGGCCUGGAAGAAUUCCUUCCUAAAUUAAAUGC
Canis lupus familiaris (dog) is the source of this 3497-nucleotide long non-coding RNA. RefSeq lists it as uncharacterized. The record is from RefSeq and is a predicted model, not a curated record. NCBI's taxonomy places the organism in Eukaryota, Metazoa, Chordata, Mammalia, Carnivora, Canidae. The transcript has 3 exons.